UCACAUAUAAUGUCGGGUCAUCUAAUUGACCGGCUCUUGGAUUUCUUCAACUUGUGCUCUGUAGUAAACUACAACACUUAUGGAUUUCUCAACCAUAUAUUUGUCGGGUUACAUUGCAACCACGGCCAAGGAUUUCUUUCAUCACAAAGGUAUCACAAGAGUGGAUAUGAUUCUACAAUGGAAGGAAUAGUCCCAAGUCGCUACACGCACACGACCCGGCACUUGGGGGCUACAU
This 235-nucleotide long non-coding RNA is filed under the name Hordeum vulgare. RNAcentral's name for it is "long non-coding RNA (HVUL_LNC015769)". The record is from RNAcentral. Lineage: Eukaryota; Viridiplantae; Streptophyta; Magnoliopsida; Poales; Poaceae.